GAAAAGGAGCGGUCACACGGGAGAGGCAUUGAAGGAAAAAUUAUUUGAAUUUGGCAACUGCUUGUGGUGGGGGGAUGAGAGGUGGAGGGUGAUAAAGCGCCCCCUCACACUCACACACAAAUAAUGUGAACAAUUUUAAAUUGCUUUACUUUAGGAGAUCAUGGAUUUUCCAGGGGGGCUGAGAACUUACCUGUUUACCCAGCCAAGUUAACAAUACUCUGCAUUGUUUACCUAACGCAGAGUAGGUACUGAAGAACUAUUUGUCGCACGGAUGACUGCAUGACCGGAUGCAUCCCAUUCCAUCAUAGAGUCAGAUGAGGAUUUGCAGAGCCAAGCCCCACCUGGGAGGCAUGUUAAGUCCUUUCCAGUUCUUCUCAAUUAUGGCUCUGCAGGCUCUUUCUCACUUGGAUGGUCCCCAGAAAGUCAGCUGCCAUGUCACGAAGUGCCCUGUGAGAAGGACCUGUAAGGAGGGACGGAGGGAGGCCUCUAAAUGACAGCCUUCGAGGAACUGAAUCCUGCUGGUGACCAUGUGAGGGAGCUUGGACUCCGGUCCCCCUGUGUUGAGCCUUCAGAUGAGUUGGCAGCCCCAGCUGGUGGCAUGACUGUAACGUCCUGAAACACCUUCAGCCAGAAAGCAUUCAGCUAAACCACACCUGUAUUUCUGACCCAAAGAAAUUGUGAGAUAAUAAACAUUUCUUCUCUUGAACUGCUAUACCUUAAGCUAAUUCGUUACACAGCAAUAGAUAACAAAUACUACCUCUGGACCCCUGCCUGCCACCAUACCAAAUUCCAUGCUCUGAGUUCUAGAGUCAGUGGUGUUUCCACCUGUCAUGCCCAGCCCUUCACUGCUAGUAUUAUAAUGAGGGCUUGCCC
Molecule: long non-coding RNA, 873 nt
Filed under: Homo sapiens (human)
Lineage: Eukaryota; Metazoa; Chordata; Mammalia; Primates; Hominidae
Description: HSALNT0187411
Source: RNAcentral